GUAUCAUGGCUCAGGAUGAACGCUAGCGGCAGGCUUAACACAUGCAAGUCGAGGGGCGAGCAUAAUGGAUAGCAAUAUCUAUGGUGGCGACCGGCGCACGGGUGCGUAACGCGUAUGCAACCUACCUUUAACAGGGGGAUAACACUGAGAAAUUGGUACUAAUACCCCAUAACAUCAUGAGAGGCAUCUUUUAUGGUUGAAAAUUCCGAUGGUUAGAGAUGGGUCUAUGCGUUG
RNAcentral lists this ribosomal RNA (234 nucleotides) under uncultured bacterium. Its description in RNAcentral is "partial 16S ribosomal RNA". It matches the Rfam family "Bacterial small subunit ribosomal RNA", at positions 14 to 240 of the family's 1533-position model. The record is from RNAcentral.